RNAcentral lists this ribosomal RNA (443 nucleotides) under uncultured bacterium. RNAcentral's name for it is "partial 16S ribosomal RNA". It matches the Rfam family "Bacterial small subunit ribosomal RNA", at positions 338 to 795 of the family's 1533-position model. The record is from RNAcentral.
CCUACGGGAGACAGCAGUGGGGGAUAUUGGACAAUGGGCGGAAGCCUGAUCCAGCGACGCCGCGUGAGUGAAGAAGUAUUUCGGUUUGUAAAGCUCUGUUAGCAGGGAAGAAAGAAAUGACGGUACCUGACCAAGAAGCCCCGGCUAACUACGCGCCAGCAGCCGCUGUAAUACGUAGGGGGCAAGCGUUAUCCGGAAUUACUGGGUGUAAAGGGAGCGUAGACGGUAAAGGAAGUCUGGUGUGAAAGGCCGGGGCCCAACCCCGAGACUGCUUUUGAAACUAUUGAACUUGAGUGCAGGAGAGGUAAGCGGAAUUCCGAGUGUAGCGGUGAAAUGCGUAGAUAUUAGGAGGAACACCAGUGGCGAAGGCGGCUUACUGGACUGUAACUGACGUUGAGGCUCGAAAGCGUGGGGAGCAAACAGGAUUAGAUACCCCUGUAGUC